Molecule: long non-coding RNA, 1319 nt
Filed under: Mytilus galloprovincialis (Mediterranean mussel)
Lineage: Eukaryota; Metazoa; Mollusca; Bivalvia; Mytilida; Mytilidae
Source: RNAcentral
AAAUCUUUGUUAUAUACAAUAUACAAUGUAUAUUCACUUUUUACUACCAACUGAUAAAUUAAAAUAAUCUUUACCAUUCAGUGAUAACAAGCAGUUUUUUUUACAUCUUAAUAUUUUAUGAUGUAUUUAAAUGAGUAGUUAUUGUUGCAAACUCCAUUAGAAAUUUUAAUUGAGAUUAGUUUUGGAAUAAGGGAAAGUGGGAUGUGAUUAUAAAAAAUUUGGUUCAAUUUUUCUCAUUUGAAAUUUCAUAAAUAAAAAAGAAAAUUUCUUCAAACUUUUUUUGAGAGGAUUAAUAUUCAACAGCAUAGUGAAUUGCUCUAAGAGAAAACAAAAAUUUUAAGUUCAUUAGAACACAUUCAUUCUGUGUCAGAAACCUAUGCUGUGUCAACUAUUUAAUCACAAUCCAAAUUUAGAGCUGAAUCCAGCUUGAAUGUUGUGUCCAUACUUGCCCCAACUGUUCAGGGUUCAACCUCUGCGGUCGUAUAAAGCUACGCCCUGCGGAGCAUCUGGUUAUAAGCCUGUCUUACCUUCCUUCUAUGCUCCAUUCUUAAAGUUUAUUUCAUAGUUCAGAAGACUUUUUCUGAACUUCAACAGUUCUUUUUCAUGUAGGGUAGGUGUGUAUACACAUAUUAUCUUUAUUUUAAAAUGAUAAAGACAUAAAAGUAUAAGUGAUUAUGAUAUUUUUUUAAAGAUAUUUUGUAGGUGUAUUAUUUUUGUAACUGUCACACAUCUUAUAGAAAAAAGAUGCACAUAUUUCAAAUGUGUUUUUUUUUUACAAUUUGAAAUGUUUCUUAUGUGAACAUAUAUGGCCACUCUUUGUUAUGUUUAUUUUUAUUUUAUACAGUUAAUGACUGAAAUAUUUUUUGAAUGUUAAUCAUUGAAAAAUCAUUAUUUUUAUUUCUGAAAGCUGUUCACAAAAAUACUGUACUAGUGUGGUUUUGUAGUAAAGCAAAAUUUUCAAGACAAUAUUAUCUUGUAGUACAACAAUAUUAUGAUUUUUUUUUAGGUACAUAUUUAGUAUUAUAUGUAUUUAUAGCAGUUAAAUCAAAUUCAGGGGCGUAGCUGCCGUUGGGCACUUUUAAGGCAAGUGUCUACACAUAAUUUUUUCACAAAUAUUUUUUUUUAUUAAAAAAAAUAAUAAACAACGUUAUCUGCAGAAUUAUUUUUAAUGAAGGAUCGUCAUUAUGUACUAUUAAUUAAGUUAAACGUAUAUAUCAGUCAGAAGGGAAUAGAUAUAAAAAUACCAAACAGGGUGUACUGCUUAAUUAAAGGGAUACGCUGAUCUACGCUGGGCAAUGCAUAUUGUAUUUUUUUUUAUA